This 253-nucleotide ribosomal RNA is filed under the name uncultured bacterium. Its description in RNAcentral is "partial 16S ribosomal RNA". It matches the Rfam family "Bacterial small subunit ribosomal RNA", at positions 524 to 776 of the family's 1533-position model. The record is from RNAcentral.
UACGGGGGGGGCAAGCGUUGUUCGGAAUUACUGGGCGUAAAGGGCUCGUAGGCGGCCAACUAAGUCAGACGUGAAAUCCCUCGGCUUAACCGGGGAACUGCGUCUGAUACUGGAUGGCUUGAGUUUGGGAGAGGGAUGCGGAAUUCCAGGUGUAGCGGUGAAAUGCGUAGAUAUCUGGAGGUACACCGGUGGCGAAGGCGGCAUCCUGGACCAACACUGACGCUGAGGAGCGAAAGCCAGGGGAGCAAACGGG